Molecule: ribosomal RNA, 403 nt
Filed under: uncultured bacterium
Lineage: Bacteria
Description: bacterial SSU rRNA
Rfam family: Bacterial small subunit ribosomal RNA
Source: RNAcentral
GGGGAAUAUUGGGCAAUGGGCGCAAGCCUGACCCAGCAACGCCGCGUGAAGGAAGAAGGCUUUCGGGUUGUAAACUUCUUUGAUCAGGGACGAAACAAAUGACGGUACCUGAAAAACAAGCCACGGCUAACUACGUGCCAGCAGCCGCGGUAAUACGUAGGUGGCGAGCGUUAUCCGGAUUUACUGGGUGUAAAGGGCGUGUAGGCGGUUUUGUAAGUCGGAUGUGAAAUUCCCAAGCUUAACUUGGGCGCUGCAACCGAAACUGCGAAACUUGAGUACUGGAGAGGAUAGUGGAAUUCCUAGUGUAGCGGUAAAAUGCGUAGAUAUUAGGAGGAACAUCAGUGGCGAAGGCGACUAUCUGGACAGUAACUGACGCUGAGGCGCGAAAGCGUGGGGAGCAAAC